GGAAUCAUUUUGAGUUCAUUCCCUUUGGUGCUGGAAGAAGAAUCUGUCCUGGCAUUUCCUUUGGCUUGCUAAAUGUUGAACUCACUCUUGCUGUUUUGUUGUUUCACUUUGAUUGGAACCUUCCUGAAGGAAUCAAAAGUGAAGACUUUGACAUGACUGAGAAAUUUGGAAUCACUGUUGGAUUAAAGAAUGAAAUUUUCUUGAUACCUCUCACUGCUGGUAAGAUAUAUUUCUUUGCUAAAUCAUAUUAUCUCAACCAUCAUAAUCUCACUCUUAACUAAAUAAAGUUAACGUAUAUUAUCUAAUCAAGUUAAACAUUAUAAGAAAAAAUUAUAUAUAAAAUAAAACAUUAUCUAAUGUCACUGUUGAUGUUUUAAAAGGGAAGUGAUGCAAAGAAAGAUGAGCGAGGAAGAAGAUUUCCACACAUCUUUGUUGAAAAGUGAAUAUGCCUCAGUGUUUCAGUUCGUGAAUAAUGAAUAAUUGAUCAGCAGAUCAAGUCUUUCAAAACUGUUACUGUAAUAUUUUUAUGUUAUGUUUCUUUUCUCAAGUAUUGAAUUGUAAGUUUCCUUUCUUUUUUUUUUUUCAGCAUGCUUAAUGUAAAGAACAUUAAUAAAUGUGUUAUUGCAGUUAUAAUUUCAACUUUAUGUUUCUCUGUCUUUUAUGAAUGGCUUAUUUAGUCACUUCCAUAACGGGUAGCUAUAAAAUUGAAAAAUUUGUUUAAUUUUUUUAUUAUUGUUAUUACUACUAUUAUUAUAAUUAUCAUUUUUUAAAUUUUGUUAUACUAUUUUAGACCUUUUUAUUUAAUUAUUUUUUUUAUAAAAAAUAGUUGAUAUAUAUAUAUAUAUAUAUAUAAUAUUUAUUCGUGAAAUUUAUAAUAAAACUGUUUUAACACUUUUUCAGGAAUUAUUUUUAACGUUAUCAACGAUUUUUAAUCCCUGAAAAAUAUGUUUUCUACUAUUGUAAAAACCUUUGAAAAAAGUAGCACUGUUAAAUAGUUACAUAAUUAAAUAAUUGCCAACCAUUUUUUGUUAAAUCGCCUCUAUUUUUAGUAUAGAUGUUAAAAUGAGUCAUAAUUUGUGGAUCAAUUCGGUUCAUCACGGGUUCGGGCUGAAUUAGAUUUUAAAAAAUUAUAUUUUUUUUUAUGCGAGUCAGAUUUCAACUCAGCUCAUUUAAACUCGGUUCUUCCGAGUUGAACCCGUGGUGGACCGGGUUGGCCCACCAACCCACCUACCUAAUUUUAUUUUAUUAAAAUUUAAUUUAAAUUUUAUAAAAAAAUAUUUAUUAUUCUUUUUGCUUGAAAAAAUUAUUUAAUUUUCUUGUUUUCAAAACUAUUUAAAAUUGGUUUAGAUUUGAAUUAUAGAAAGUUCGUAAUUCUUUUUUAUUUUAAAAAGAUUGUAAUUAAGUGAGUUAGUGAGUCAACCUGUUUACCUAUCAACCUGUGAUGGGUCGAGCCGUAUUUGAAUAUUUUUGACUCGUUAAUAAAUGAGUCAGGUUGGAUUGACUCACUAAGUGAUCAACCAUGGUAGGUCGGAUCAGGUGAUCCGUUUUGACAACACUAAUUUCUAGGGAUUUUUGGAAAAUCCUUGAAACUCAACCGGGUUUGACAAAACCGCCCCUAACCGUCGAAAAUGUAUACAGAUUAAUUUUUUUUAUAGUGUUGAAAUUGGAUUAUGAUAAAAUUGGUUUUAAUAUCAAUAUAUACAAUCAAGACAUAAAACAAUGUUAGCACUUAAUGAAUGAGAUGACAAUUGCAUAUCCAACGAAUAUACUAUAAAGGAAAAUUGUCCCACAUGUACACAUGUAACAGCCCAUAAAAACUUCUUUUGAAAAUCAUUUCAUCAGUCCAAAACUUAUACAAUUGAGAAAGUAUGAGACAAUUGCAAGUGGCCGUGCAUUAAGAGAGAAAGGCUUUCAAAUGAAUAAACAAACAACACGGAGUGUCCCACCUUGUCUGCCACAAAUAUGUUUUCUUAGAAAUUAAUUGUUUCAGCCUCACAAUGAAACAGCCAACACCUUAAUAUUCAAAAUUUGCAUAGUCAUUCACAGAAAGCAAUCGUGCAUUCAUAAAAUGUAUUGACCACCAAACUUUCCCUUCUCUCACAAACUCAAACCAACAAUGCUCAUACGAAAAUACACCAUCAAUUCAACAUCAUCUAGCUCACAUUUACAUGUCAAGAUGUUAAUUUCAACAAAGUUCUCUCAUACCUGGUUCGAAUCCUUCUCAGAUUAAACCCUCGACCCAAAAUCCUUCAAUCGCCUAUAGUUCUUCGCUCAACCUCUGCGCUCUCUCGUGCUCACGUGAGGCAAAGCAGACCUCACCUUCACCCUCCUAACCAACCACGAAAUAGACGGGAGAAAGGCGUUUCUAGGGCACAAAAAUAACGAAGGAGAGAAGAGAAGGAAGGAUGCCGAAAAAUGACAAAGGAGAAGAAACGAACCACGAUGAACGCCGGAGAAACCACGGAGAACGCCGAAGAAGAAAUGGACAACGCCGGAAAAGGAAUGGAGAAUGCCAAGAUGGAGGAGAACCAAAGGAGAAUAAUAAAUGUAGUGAGAACGUAAAUCACAGAACGCUUAGAAGAAAAGAGAAAAUGCACGGCGCGAAACCUAAAUCCUGAAUAUACACAAUGAAAUAAAAAUAAAUCAUACUACUUAUUUAAACAAGCAUGGUCUAUUGGUUUUUCUAAAGACAUCGUUUUUUAAUAAAAAGUUAAUAAAAAUUAAUAAUAGAAUAGAUCACGCUUUUAUAGAAAAAUAAAUUAUUCAUUUGGUACCAUUAUAGACAGUAUUUUUUUUUUAAAAAAAACAGUAUCUGUUGUUUUGUGUUUUUUUUUUUUUAAAAACAGUAUCUAUUGUUUUGUAUUUUGAUAAAUAGCAUUUAUUUAAAUAAAUGCUAUCUAUUCAUUUUGUAAUAGUAUUUAUAAAAAUCAUCACGUUGUUCAUUUAAUUAAGUUGAAGUUGUUAUCACUCUAAAUCAUGACAACACAUGUUUUUAAGGAGUUACGAAAACAUUUAAAACAAAAAUAUUUGGGUUAAAUAGGUUUUUAGUCCUUAUACUUUGGAGCAUUUUGGUUUUAGUCUCUCUUUUAAACUAAAGUACAAUUUAGUCCUUCAACCUUAUAAAAUUCUGGUUUUAGUCCUUUUUAUCAAAUUUUUUUAACUUUAUUUGCUAUUUCAAGCAUGUUUCAUUAUAGCGUUUGGAUUGUUUACACUGUUUGACACAUUUUUUCUUCAAUGUUAACUGAGAAACGCGUUUAAAAUAGCAAAUAAAGUUAAAAAAAUUUGAUAAAAAGGACUAAAACCAGAGUUUUCUAAAGUUCAAGGACUAAAUUGUACCUUAGUUUGAAAGAGUGACUAAAACCAAAAUCGCCCCAAAGAUUAAGACUAAAAACAUAUUUAAUCCAAAAUAUUUUAUAAAAGAAUUUGUUAUACAUUUAUAUAUAUAUAUAUAUAUAUUAAACUUACACUUAAGCUAUAAUGCUUAAGUAAGAAAUAAGGAUUUGAAGUGGAGUUACCUUAUGAAAAAGUCAUUAAGCUAUCGUCACUUAAACGUAAACAUUUGUUUUAAAACAAGUUCGUUACUUAAGCGUAUAUUCAGUAGCACUUAAACAAUUACUUAAAAAGAAUGAAUUAAUGAGUUAAAUUAUUUUCAAAAUGUGUGUAUUAAUUUAUUUUAGAAAGUUGUAUAGUCUUAAGACAUAUUUAUUUAUUGAAAUAUAGGAAAAGAUGCAUACGCGAUUUAAAUUAUAAAAUUUCAUACUCUGCAAUCAAUUUUAACAUGCACAAAUUUAAAAUAAAGUAAAAACAUAAACUAAAAAAACUAAAAAUACUAUAAUAAACGAAAAAACAAACAACCUAAUUUACAUAAUUUACCGUCUCAUUAUGACCAAAAGUGUUAGUUUCCUUGAAGAUUGAGAAUUACAUCAAAUAUUACAUCUCUAGUCAAAUAUAGUUAAUAUAAAUAUAUCUGAAAAAAAUGCUUAUUUAUUAUUAUCUAUUAUUUAAUUACUUUAAUUCUUUGAAAAGAUACAUCGUUCGAAGACGAUAGAUAUGAUUUGUUUGAUAUGAGACUAAUUCUAUUGAAACAUUCUGAUUACUUAUUUUGUUGUAGAUUGGUUUAAUUCUAACUUUGUGUUGUAUAUUUGAUAUGAAUAGACCUCUUUGCACUAGUGCAAAAAUGUUGUUCAACGUCACUCAUAAGACGUCGAUUUGCGUGUAAUUCGAUGUAUAGAGCGGACGGUGACAUUAUUGUAAAUAGUCUGCUAAACUAGACGUCUGUUUUUGGAUAAAACCGACGUCUAUUAAUUUCAAGACGUCAGCACUGUAGCACCCCGACGUCUACUGGGCUGCAUUUAAUGCUUUUCACCUAAUUCUCAUGGGCUUAGACGUCACGUAGUCCAAAUCCGACGUCUAAGGCAUGUCUGGAAGGCGGGAAGACAAAAAAAUCUUCAAUGUUGACAUCGGCGUUUCAGUCUACGCGACGUCUAUAAUACCUGUAAUAAUUAUGUUUACAAAACUCGAGGGCCUGAGACGUCGGCUAUUUGGGCCCCCGACGUGUAUGUUAUUAUAGACGUCGGUGGCCCAUACCAACAGUCGUGAACAUCCCUGACAGGAUAUCAAACGUCAAUCGGUUCAGCUUCCUAGAUGUCGGUUCCCCCUGACAGAAACCGACGUCUAAUGGGUAUUCAAAAAGUCAGUUUUAAAUGUUCACUUGGACGUCACAUUAGUAGGAUAACCGACGUCUAUAGAUGUCGGUUUCUGAAGAAUAACCGACGCCCAAUUCCAUUUUAAAUAUACCACAACUCUUCGCGGCAUUUCAGUUUCUGAUAUCGAUCGUCUUCCUCUUCUCCUUUUUCUCUUGCCACACCUCUUCUUUUUCUCUCUUGCAUCCCAAGUGCGUGGUUUUUUUUUUAUGUUUACAGUUUAAACUUUAUUUAGUCUUUCAUCUAUUAUCUUGUGGUUCAACUGAUGAAAAUUUGCUUUCUUUGUGUUGUGUUUUAGUGCAAUUUUGAUCCUCUCUUUGGGUAACAUAGUACAACAUUCUCCCUUUGCUAGUUUCCUCACAAGAAGAGUGACAAUCUUUUGAGUUUUUUAUGAUUUCUCGACCUAAAAUGCAACUUGGGUCCUUGUCUAGUUCUCGUGUCACCGUAAUUUUUUNUAUAUAUAUGUAUAUAUAUAUGUAUAUAUAUGUAUAUGUAUAUAUAUAUAUGUAUAUAUAUGUAUAUGUAUAUGUAUAUAUAUGUAUAUAUAUAUAUAUAUAUAUAUAUAUAUAUAUAUAUAUAUAUAUAUAUAUAUAUAUAUAUAUAUAUAUAUAUAUAUGUAUAUGUAUACAUAUACAUAUAUAUAUAUAUAUAUAUAGAGGGUGAAAUAUGUUUUUGGUCCCUUAAUUUUCACUGAAAAUUGGAAUUAGUUUCUCUUCAAAACUUUGGUCUAAUUUAGUUUUCCAACUUUAAAAACUUAUGAAUUUAGUCCUUUUAACUAAAUUUUGUUAGGUUUAUUUGAUGUUUCAAGCACGUUUCAUAAUAGCAUUUGGGUUGUUUACAUUGUUUGACACAUAUUUGCUUCAAUGUCAACUGAGAAAUGCGUUUGAAACAUAAAAUAAAGUUAACAAAAUUUGGUUAAAAGGACUAAAUUCAUACUUUUCUAAAGUUGGGGGACUAAAUUAGACCAAAAUUUUGAAGAGAGACUAAUUCAAAUUUUCACUAAAAGUUAAGGGACCAAAAACGUAUUUAACCCAUAUAUAUAUAUAUAUAUAUAUAUAUAUAUAUAUAUAUAUAUAUAUAUAUAUAUAUAUAUAUAUAUAGUGUACACCUGUUGUUCAGUUGGUGUGUUUUAACAAUGUGUACCGGAUUAUAGUAGACAAAAAUACCCUCAUAUAUCAUGGAUUCUAAGUUUUAAGGUCAAGGAUAUUUAAAUAAUUUUUCAUUCUCAAAACUAAAAUAAAAAACCCAAACCCUUACUCACCUCCCUCAUUCCUCUCAAUCCUUUCUCUUUCAUCUCUCUCACACUCUAACAUUUUCUUUGUCAUCUCUACUAUUGCCCCAAUUGAAAAAAAAAUCAGAAACCCUAUAGUUUUUUAUCUUCCACAGUGGUUAAAGUUUAUUCUAAAGGCCUGCAGAAGUUUAUUAAGUGAUAAAAACGAGACAUAAGGAAAUUAAAGAAAUGGGUAUAAAAGAGCUCCCUAGGAGUACAAUUAUUUCAAUUCUAGGUUGUAAUCUUACAUCAUGUAUACCAUACCAAAAGAGAAAGGAAAAAGAAACACUUUGUGUAAAGGGAAAAGGACAAUAGAGGGAAAUAUCUUGUUCUUUAAAAAUAUAAUGAAAUGUGAUGUAGAUGUGUAAAUGAUAUAUGAAAAUUUAAUUGAUUUAUGAAGGUUUUAUUUACAUGAUUUAAUUUAAAAAUGAAAUUUAAUAAUAAUAAAAAGGGAAAAUAUAUAACACAUCCUCCAAAUGAACGAACAGAACAAGAACAACAAAUUACGGUGGCGAGGGUUGUUGUGUGGUUGAGGGAGAGUAUGGAGAUGAGAGAAAAACAAAUUGGAUAAGUGAGGAAGGUGAAUUAGGGUUAGGCAAGGGUUUCUGUUUGUUUUUCAAUUCUGGCAACAGUAGGGAUGACAGAGAAAAUGUUGGAGUGAGAGAGAUGAAAGAGAAAGGGUUGAGAGAAAUAAGGGAGGUGAGUAAGGGUUUGGGGGUUUCUUUUUUUUUUUUAGUUUCGAGAAUGAAAAUUAUUUAAAUAUCUUUGACCUUAAAACUUAGAAUCCAUGAUAUAUGAGGGUAAUUUUGUUUACUAUAAUCCGGUACACAUUGUUAAAAUGUACCAACUGAAAAACAGGUGUACGCGCAUUACAAACCCUAUAAAAAAUAAAUUGAAUCAUACAUUAUACAUGCAUCUAUAUAGAAAGAGAAAUCGUGUCAACUUAUCCUUCUCAACUUUGCCUUAAUUAUACUAUGAAAAAAGUCUCUUUAACAACACUUUUUUGAUAAUUUUUUGAGAACACAUACAUAGGAGUGUAUGAUUGGUCCGUUUCAAAUAUUUUUUUAAACAUAAAUUCAAACAGACCAAUAAAAUGAUGACACGUGUCAUGUUGUAAAAAAAUUAUUAAAAAGAGUUGUAAAAAUAUCAUCAUCCACUUAUACUAUUGGUACCUAUUUUUUCUUCACAAUCUGACACCACUUUAUACUUAAAAUUGCCUUGACUUUAACUAGUGUGAUGUGAGACCUUGAAAAGUAUGCUUUACCAUUUGUGUUCAAAAUGAAUAUAUAUAUAUAUAUAUAUAUAUAUAUNUAUAUAUAUAUAUAUAUAUUAAACUUACACUUAAGCUAUAAUGCUUAAGUAAGAAAUAAGGAUUUGAAGUGGAGUUACCUUAUGAAAAAGUCAUUAAGCUAUCGUCACUUAAACGUAAACAUUUGUUUUAAAACAAGUUCGUUACUUAAGCGUAUAUUCAGUAGCACUUAAACAAUUACUUAAAAAGAAUGAAUUAAUGAGUUAAAUUAUUUUCAAAAUGUGUGUAUUAAUUUAUUUUAGAAAGUUGUAUAGUCUUAAGACAUAUUUAUUUAUUGAAAUAUAGGAAAAGAUGCAUACGCGAUUUAAAUUAUAAAAUUUCAUACUCUGCAAUCAAUUUUAACAUGCACAAAUUUAAAAUAAAGUAAAAACAUAAACUAAAAAAACUAAAAAUACUAUAAUAAACGAAAAAACAAACAACCUAAUUUACAUAAUUUACCGUCUCAUUAUGACCAAAAGUGUUAGUUUCCUUGAAGAUUGAGAAUUACAUCAAAUAUUACAUCUCUAGUCAAAUAUAGUUAAUAUAAAUAUAUCUGAAAAAAAUGCUUAUUUAUUAUUAUCUAUUAUUUAAUUACUUUAAUUCUUUGAAAAGAUACAUCGUUCGAAGACGAUAGAUAUGAUUUGUUUGAUAUGAGACUAAUUCUAUUGAAACAUUCUGAUUACUUAUUUUGUUGUAGAUUGGUUUAAUUCUAACUUUGUGUUGUAUAUUUGAUAUGAAUAGACCUCUUUGCACUAGUGCAAAAAUGUUGUUCAACGUCACUCAUAAGACGUCGAUUUGCGUGUAAUUCGAUGUAUAGAGCGGACGGUGACAUUAUUGUAAAUAGUCUGCUAAACUAGACGUCUGUUUUUGGAUAAAACCGACGUCUAUUAAUUUCAAGACGUCAGCACUGUAGCACCCCGACGUCUACUGGGCUGCAUUUAAUGCUUUUCACCUAAUUCUCAUGGGCUUAGACGUCACGUAGUCCAAAUCCGACGUCUAAGGCAUGUCUGGAAGGCGGGAAGACAAAAAAAUCUUCAAUGUUGACAUCGGCGUUUCAGUCUACGCGACGUCUAUAAUACCUGUAAUAAUUAUGUUUACAAAACUCGAGGGCCUGAGACGUCGGCUAUUUGGGCCCCCGACGUGUAUGUUAUUAUAGACGUCGGUGGCCCAUACCAACAGUCGUGAACAUCCCUGACAGGAUAUCAAACGUCAAUCGGUUCAGCUUCCUAGAUGUCGGUUCCCCCUGACAGAAACCGACGUCUAAUGGGUAUUCAAAAAGUCAGUUUUAAAUGUUCACUUGGACGUCACAUUAGUAGGAUAACCGACGUCUAUAGAUGUCGGUUUCUGAAGAAUAACCGACGCCCAAUUCCAUUUUAAAUAUACCACAACUCUUCGCGGCAUUUCAGUUUCUGAUAUCGAUCGUCUUCCUCUUCUCCUUUUUCUCUUGCCACACCUCUUCUUUUUCUCUCUUGCAUCCCAAGUGCGUGGUUUUUUUUUUAUGUUUACAGUUUAAACUUUAUUUAGUCUUUCAUCUAUUAUCUUGUGGUUCAACUGAUGAAAAUUUGCUUUCUUUGUGUUGUGUUUUAGUGCAAUUUUGAUCCUCUCUUUGGGUAACAUAGUACAACAUUCUCCCUUUGCUAGUUUCCUCACAAGAAGAGUGACAAUCUUUUGAGUUUUUUAUGAUUUCUCGACCUAAAAUGCAACUUGGGUCCUUGUCUAGUUCUCGUGUCACCGUAAUUUUUUUCUUUUGCGGUUGAAUAAUGGGAAGUAGUCAUGGACCCAGGUUCGGUUUUGGGUUGAAAUGUCAUAGAAGAUUCAAAAGACGCAAGCUUUUUUUUGUGGGGAAACUAGCGAGAGGAGAGUGUUGCACUAUGCUACCGAAAGUCUGGAUCAAAACUGUACUAAAACACAACGUUAGACAUCGGUUAGUGUCAGGUCCGACGUCUAUAAGGAACAUAGACGUCGGUUAGUGUCAUUUUAAACCUCUAUAUAUUCAUCUAGACGUCGGUUUUAUGCAUAGGUGGACGUCUAUAUAGAGAAAUUAGACGUCAGUGUGGGUAUAAGUAGACGUCUAGAUAGACAUCGGUGGAUAUCGUUAACCGACGUUUAUAUUGACGUCGGUUAAGAGGAUUUCCGACGUCCCAUGGACGUCACCCUUAUAGACGUCUGUUGUGUAAGUGACGUUAAAAGCCCAAAUUAACCUACGUUAAACAACGUUUCUACACUAAUGUUGGUGACAAUUGUAAAAACAUCUAGUAUAUAUUAUAUUGAUAUACAUAUGUUUAUUUCCAAUAAAUUUAUUUCAAACUGAAUUAUAUAUUUUGUAAAACUUUCAUAUUUUUUAUAAACUCUUGUCUUUCGUCUAACUUUUAUGAUUUUUCUUUAAACGUGGGAAGAUUUCAUGCAUAAAUUACAUAAAAUGAUAGAUUUCUAAAAAAUCAUAAAAUAAGUUAUGUACUUUCUAUACCACUUCAAAUAAAAAUUUCUUUUGAUUUUCACAUAACUUUUAUUAUGAUACUAUUGAAAAAUGAAAGUUAAUAAUUUUUUUUUACGACUUCAAAGUUGGUGAUCCUUAUGACGAUUUUAGCAUUGAAAUCGUUGAAAUGGACUACUUCUCUUACGACUUCAAUAGUUGUUAAAGUUGUUCACCCUAGACCGAAUUGAAAGUUUGGCCAGGAUGAAGUUAAGUUCAACUGAACUCUGUAGAGCUUAGAGUGACAAUGUUGAACCUACUAAUAACAUUGUGAAGCUCAGCUAGACAUAGUUGAACUUGGAAGGUGUCAUUCUUGACAUCGUAUGGUAAAAGACCUUUUGGAAAGAAGAUUUUUUAAGAGUAAAAAUAAUAGCUCACAUCCUAUUAACACUACUUGAAAGUUUAGUGUUAAUAUAAAGUGUCAUAUAUGAGCGGUCAUUUUUACUCUCAAAAAUAUUUUUUUUGAAAGCCCUUUUGUAUGUUAGGAAUGAAACUUUUUGAGCUCAAUUACGUUAAACCGAACUCCACAACGUUAUUGUAGAGUUCAACAUUAUCAGUUUAAGCUUUGUGGAGUCUCAUCGAGCUUAACUUUAUCUGGAUGACCUAUAUAAAACUUGUCUGAGCUUAUCAUUUCAGUCCGAACUAGGGUGGUCGACUUCACUGUUGCAGUAGUGAGGGGGUGGCCGACUUUUAUAUUGAAGUCGUCAAAAAAUAACUUUUCAACUAUGUCAAAGCGAAAAUCAUAUGAAAGAUAAUCAACUUUCUCAUUUGAAAUUAUAUAAAGGUUUCACGACUUAUCAAUUUUCAUAAUUUUCCAUAUUUAUGUAUUUUUUUUAGAGGACAAUGAUAUUUUGACAAUACUUUUUUAUAAUUUUUUUUACAACGGGACACAUGUCAUCGUUUUAUUGGUCUAUUUAAAUUUAUGUUUAAAAAAUAUUUAAAACAGACCAAUCACAAACUGUCACAUAUGUGUUGUCAAAAGAUUAUUAAAAAAAUGUUGUUAAAAUUUAUUUUUCCUUUCUUAGAUUAUGCUCAAAGCUCUAUAUUUGAUUAGAAACAAAAAUUGGAUAAGAAGCUAAUUCAACUUACUAAAGCAGGUCAUAAAUAAGAUAAGAAUACGACUCAUAUAUAAUAUAUUUUAUAUGAUCGGUGGAUGUAAAAUUUUCAAAGAUCAUUUAGAUAUUUUAAUUAGGAAAAUGAUAUUUUAACACUUUCUUUUAGAUCAUUUUAACACUGUACACGUGUCAAAAUGUGGUUCGACGAUUUCAAAUUAAAAAAAUAAACUUUGGUUUUUCUCUUCCAAAUAUACCUCUCUCUCUACUUUUUUAAUUUGAAAUCGUCCAAUCACAUUUUGACACGUGUACAGUGUCAAAAUGGUGUUAAAAUGUCAUUUUCCUUUUGAAUAUGACAGAUCACUUGUGACAUUUAUAAAAUGAUAAACAAGAUGGCUUUAAAUUAUUUUAAAAUACCUUGUGUUCAAAACUAAUGAAAUCAAACAUGCAGUGGUUAUUAAAUUGGAAUAAUAAUGGUAGUUAUCUUCUCACCUGUUUAUCUACCUAUCAGUUUCUUCAUUUAUGAACAUGGGGAAAAGAACAACACCUGUUUAUCUUCUCCUCCAUGUUCACCACCACCAAUCAAUCUUUAUAUAUAUAUCAUGAGUUGCAGAACCUUUUACCAUUAACUUUUUCUCACCAUGGAUUCUGAAAUACUCCUUAUCUUUUCCUUUCUCCUCUGCAUCAUUGUGGCACUCAAACUAGGGAGAAACCUCAACAAAAAAAGCAAGCCAUCAUCACUAAACAUACCCCCUGCACCAUGGAAGCUUCCUGUUAUAGGAAACCUGCACCAUCUUGUUUCAUCCACACCACACCGAAAACUAAGAGACUUAGCCAAAAUAUACGGACCCAUGAUGCAUCUCCAGCUAGGAGAGAUCUUCAUUAUCGUUGUUUCCUCAGCAGAGUACGCCAAAGAGAUCAUGAAAACACAUGAUGCAACCUUUGCAUCGAGACCUCAACUUCUGGCAGCAGAUAUAGCUACUUAUGGAUACACAAACAUUGCUUUUGCACCUUACGGAAGUUACUGGAAAAAGGUACGAAAAAUCUGUUCUGUCCCCAAAACGUGUCAGUUCAUUCCAACCGAUCAGAGAAGAAGAACUCAACAAUCUGGUUCAAAUUGUUAGUUCACAUGUUGGAGGGUCCCCCAUCAACCUCACUGAAGCAGUGUCCUCAUCAAUGUAUAACAUCAUUUCAAGGGCUGCUCUGGGGCAGAAGCGCACCAAAGACCACAAUGAGUUCUUCUGGCUCCAGGAGUGAAAUCAGUUGUGAAAGAAACCCUAAGGUUACACCCACCAGGAGUUCUUCUGGCUCCAAGAGAAUAUGCAGAGACAUGUGAGAUUGAUGGGUAUGAGAUACCAGUGAAAAGUAAGAUAUUGAUAAAUGCCUGAGCAAUUGGGAGAGACCCAAAGUACUGGAAUGAAGCAGAGAGGUUUUAUCCAGAGAGAUUCAUUGGCAGUUCCAUUGAUCUUAAAGGGAAUCAUUUUGAGUUCAUUCCCUUUGGUGCUGGAAGAAGAAUCUGUCCUGGCAUUUCCUUUGGCUUGCUAAAUGUUGAACUCACUCUUGCUGUUUUGUUGUUUCACUUUGAUUGGAACCUUCCUGAAGGAAUCAAAAGUGAAGACUUUGACAUGACUGAGAAAUUUGGAAUCACUGUUGGAUUAAAGAAUGACAUAUUCUUGAUACCUCUCACUGCUGGUAAGA
This 12484-nucleotide long non-coding RNA is filed under the name Vigna radiata. Its description in RNAcentral is "long non-coding RNA (VRAD_LNC005598)". The record is from RNAcentral. Lineage: Eukaryota; Viridiplantae; Streptophyta; Magnoliopsida; Fabales; Fabaceae.